UAGGGAAUAUUCGGCAAUGGGCGAAAGCCUGACCGAGCAACGCCGCGUGAAUGAUGAAGGCCUUAGGGUUGUAAAGUUCUGUUAUAAGGGAAGAACGACUUUAGUAGGAAAUGGCUAGAGUGUGACGGUACCUUAUGAGAAAGCCACGGCUAACUACGUGCCAGCAGCCGCGGUAAUACGUAGGUGGCGAGCGUUAUCCGGAAUUAUUGGGCGUAAAGCGCGCGCAGGUGGUUGAUUAAGUCUGAUGUGAAAGCCCACGGCUUAACCGUGGAGGGUCAUUGGAAACUGGUCGACUUUGGUGCAGAAGAGGGAAGUGGAAUUCCAUGUGUAGCGGUGAAAUGCGUAGAGAUAUGGAGGAACACCAGUGGCGAAGGCGGCUUCCUGGUCUGGAACUGACACUGAGGCGCUAAAGCGUGGGGAGCAAACA
RNAcentral lists this ribosomal RNA (427 nucleotides) under uncultured prokaryote. Its description in RNAcentral is "bacterial SSU rRNA". It matches the Rfam family "Bacterial small subunit ribosomal RNA", at positions 355 to 774 of the family's 1533-position model. The record is from RNAcentral.